UACGGGGGGAGCAAGCGUUGUUCGGAUUUACUGGGCGUAAAGGGCGCGUAGGCGGCCUCCGCAAGUCAGUUGUGAAAUCUCCGAGCUUAACUCGGAAAGGUCAACUGAUACUGCGGGGCUAGAGUGCGGAAGGGGCAACUGGAAUUCUUGGUGUAGCGGUGAAAUGCGUAGAUAUCAAGAGGAACACCUGCGGCGAAGGCGGGUUGCUGGGCCGACACUGACGCUGAGGCGCGAAAGCAUGGGGAGCGAACAGG
This 254-nucleotide ribosomal RNA is filed under the name uncultured bacterium. RNAcentral describes it as "partial 16S ribosomal RNA". It matches the Rfam family "Bacterial small subunit ribosomal RNA", at positions 524 to 776 of the family's 1533-position model. The record is from RNAcentral.